UUCUCCAUGACAUGAGGGGACUGAAAACCUUGAAAAUACACGAAGGAGCACUGCCUCUACUCGAACAUCUUGAAAUUGGGCCUAGCCCACAAAUUGGGGAGGUGCCAUCUGGCAUUCGCCUGCUCAAAAGCCUUACAAGUAUUCAUUUUUGGGGCAUGCCAAGAGAAUUCACGCGUAGUAUGUUACCAGAGGAUGGCCAAAAAUGUCACAUAGUUGAACAUGUCCCCAAUGUCUUUUUCCACUUUUUUCAUUCUGGAGGCUACAGCACCAAGGCACUAAGAUGACCACCAAAAAUGUCAUUCCAAAUCCCAGUGAUGAUUGUAGGUUGUAAUUGGUGAUCGACUGUUGGGCACUGAUCAAGUCUGAAGGUUUGCUUACUGAAAAUCAAGUUGUGUAAGGACAGUUCUUUGAGCAUCCCAUAUAAUGUCGAUAUGAUGCUUUUCUCCUUUUCCAUGGUUGUAUUAUUGUUACUUUCCCUUCAGGGAUAAAGGAAAUCCCAACUUCUAGAAUAUGCAGUACUGUUUAUGGUUCUAAUCAAUUAAUAGGAAUUCUUGGUGGAAGUGUUCGUUA
This is a long non-coding RNA of Vitis riparia (riverbank grape), 570 nucleotides long. RefSeq lists it as uncharacterized. The record is from RefSeq and is a predicted model, not a curated record. The transcript is spliced from 2 exons. NCBI's taxonomy places the organism in Eukaryota, Viridiplantae, Streptophyta, Magnoliopsida, Vitales, Vitaceae.